This 467-nucleotide ribosomal RNA is filed under the name uncultured bacterium. RNAcentral's name for it is "partial 16S ribosomal RNA". It matches the Rfam family "Bacterial small subunit ribosomal RNA", at positions 28 to 507 of the family's 1533-position model. The record is from RNAcentral.
GACGAACGCUGGCGGCGUGCUUAACACAUGCAAGUCGAACGGAAAGGCCUCUUUCGGGGGGUACUCGAGUGGCGAACGGGUGAGUAACACGUGAGUAACCUGCCCUUGACUUUGGGAUAACUUCAGGAAACUGGGGCUAAUACCGGAUAGGAGCUCCUGCUGCAUGGUGGGGGUUGGAAAGUUUCGGCGGUUGGGGAUGGACUCGCGGCCUAUCAGCUUGUUGGUGGGGUAGUGGCUUACCAAGGCUUUGACGGGUAGCCGGCCUGAGAGGGUGACCGGCCACAUUGGGACUGAGAUACGACCCAGACUCCUACGGGAGGCAGCAGUGGGGAAUAUUGCACAAUGGGUGGAAGCCUGAUGCAGCAACGCCGUGUGCGGGAUGACGGCCUUCGGGUUGUAAACCGCUUUCGCUCAUGACGAAGCUUUGUGUGACGGUAGUGGGUAAAGAAGCACCGGCUAACUACGUG